Molecule: ribosomal RNA, 697 nt
Filed under: uncultured bacterium
Lineage: Bacteria
Description: bacterial SSU rRNA
Rfam family: Bacterial small subunit ribosomal RNA
Source: RNAcentral
UGGCGGACGGGUGAGUAACACGUGGGUAACCUGCCCUUAAGUGGGGGAUAACAUUUGGAAACAGAUGCUAAUACCGCAUAGAUCCAAGAACCGCAUGGUUCUUGGCUGAAAAAUGGCGUAAGCUAUCGCUUUUGGAUGGACCCGCGGCGUAUUAGCUAGUUGGUGAGGUAAUGGCUCACCAAGGCGAUGAUACGUAGCCGAACUGAGAGGUUGAUCGGCCACAUUGGGACUGAGACACGGCCCAAACUCCUACGGGAGGCAGCAGUAGGGAAUCUUCCACAAUGGACGCAAGUCUGAUGGAGCAACACCGCGUGAGUGAAGAAGGCUUUCGGGUCGUAAAACUCUGUUGUUGGAGAAGAAUGGUCGGCAGAGUAACUGUUGUCGGCGUGACGGUAUCCAACCAGAAAGCCACGGCUAACUACGUGCCAGCAGCCGCGGUAAUACGUAGGUGGCAAGCGUUAUCCGGAUUUAUUGGGCGUAAAGCGAGCGCAGGCGGUUUUUUAAGUCUGAUGUGAAAGCCCUCGGCUUAACCGAGGAAGCGCAUCGGAAACUGGGAAACUUGAGUGCAGAAGAGGACAGUGGAACUCCAUGUGUAGCGGUGAAAUGCGUAGAUAUAUGGAAGAACACCAGUGGCGAAGGCGGCUGUCUGGUCUGUAACUGACGCUGAGGCUCGAAAGCAUGGGUAGCGAACAGGAUU